CGGACUGGAGUCUNCAACCCGACUCCACGAAGUUGGAUUCGCUAGUAAUCGCGCAUCAGCCAUGGCGCGGUGAAUACGUUCCCGGGCCUUGUACACACCGCCCGUCAAGCCAUGGGAGCCGGGGGCGCCUGAAGUCCGGGACCGCGAGGACCGGCCUAAGGCGAAACUGGUGACUGGGGCUAAGUCGUAACAAGGUAGC
RNAcentral lists this ribosomal RNA (199 nucleotides) under uncultured bacterium. RNAcentral describes it as "partial 16S ribosomal RNA". It matches the Rfam family "Bacterial small subunit ribosomal RNA", at positions 1294 to 1500 of the family's 1533-position model. The record is from RNAcentral.